UGGGGAAUUUUGGACAAUGGGCGAAAGCCUGAUCCAGCAAUGCCGCGUGUGUGAAGAAGGCCUUCGGGUUGUAAAGCACUUUUGUCCGGAAAGAAAUCCUUGGCUCUAAUACAGUCGGGGGAUGACGGUACCGGAAGAAUAAGCACCGGCUAACUACGUGCCAGCAGCCGCGGUAAUACGUAGGGUGCAAGCGUUAAUCGGAAUUACUGGGCGUAAAGCGUGCGCAGGCGGUUUGCUAAGACCGAUGUGAAAUCCCCGGGCUCAACCUGGGAACUGCAUUGGUGACUGGCAGGCUAGAGUAUGGCAGAGGGGGGUAGAAUUCCACGUGUAGCAGUGAAAUGCGUAGAGAUGUGGAGGAAUACCGAUGGCGAAGGCAGCCCCCUGGGCCAAUACUGACGCUCAUGCACGAAAGCGUGGGGAGCAAACAGGAUUAGAUACCCUGGUAGUCCCACGCCCUAAACGAUGUCAACUAGUUGUUGGGGAUUCAUUUCCUUAGUAACGUAGCUAACGCGUGAAGUUGACCGCCUGGGGAGUACGGUCGCAAGAUUAAAAC
This 553-nucleotide ribosomal RNA is filed under the name uncultured bacterium. RNAcentral's name for it is "partial 16S ribosomal RNA". It matches the Rfam family "Bacterial small subunit ribosomal RNA", at positions 355 to 900 of the family's 1533-position model. The record is from RNAcentral.